This 274-nucleotide ribosomal RNA is filed under the name uncultured bacterium. RNAcentral's name for it is "partial 16S ribosomal RNA". It matches the Rfam family "Bacterial small subunit ribosomal RNA", at positions 523 to 796 of the family's 1533-position model. The record is from RNAcentral.
AUACGAAAGUUGCAAGCGUUGUUCGGAUUUACUGGGCGUAAAGAGAUCGUAGGUGGUUUGUUAAGUUGGAUGUGAAAUCCCGGGGCUCAACCUCGUAACUGCAUCCAAAACUGGCAGACUUGAGUUCGGGAGGGGUAAGCGGAAUUCCGUGUGUAGCAGUGAAAUGCGUAGAUAUACGGAGGAACACCUGAGGCGAAGGCGGCUUACUGGACCGAUACUGACACUGAGGAUCGAAAGCGUGGGUAGCAAACAGGAUUAGAUACCCUAGUAGUCC